GGCUUGAUGGUCUAGGGGUAUGAUUCUCGCUUCGGGUGCGAGAGGUCCCGGGUUCAAAUCCCGGUCAAGCCC
This is a transfer RNA of Daphnia magna, 72 nucleotides long. It matches the Rfam family "tRNA". From Rfam's summary of the family: Transfer RNA (tRNA) molecules are approximately 80 nucleotides in length. Their secondary structure includes four short double-helical elements and three loops (D, anti-codon, and T loops). The record is from Rfam. Lineage: Eukaryota; Metazoa; Arthropoda; Branchiopoda; Diplostraca; Daphniidae.